UGGGCCCGGCGCUGCGAGGACGCGGCGGGAGGGGGCGCAACGCGGAACAGCCGCCUCCCCGGGCCCCGCCGCCGCUCACCCUCCAGGGCCUCGAAAAUCGUCUGCGCCAUCUUGGAGCUGCCGCCGUCUCGGGAGCUGAUGCGGGGCUACGUGUGACGCUGGUUCCAAAGAAGUACACUUGGACCACAAGGAAGAGUCGAGGAGUGUGUGGAGGGGAGAGGCAACCAGAGAGAAAUAGGUUGUGGUUCCGGUUCCGUCGCGGAGACACGUGAAGGUCGGUGAGUUGGAGCACAGUUCGUCUAG
This 303-nucleotide long non-coding RNA is filed under the name Canis lupus dingo (dingo). RNAcentral's name for it is "lncRNA (ENSCAFG00020004985.1)". The record is from RNAcentral. Lineage: Eukaryota; Metazoa; Chordata; Mammalia; Carnivora; Canidae.